GAACGCUGGCGGCAUGCCUUACACAUGCAAGUCGAACGGCAGCGGGGGGAGCUUGCUCCCUGACGGCGAGUGGCGGACGGGUGAGUAACACGUAGGAAUCUACCUUAAUUAUAAUAGUUAGUGGGGGAUAACCCGGGGAAACUCGGGCUAAUACCGCAUAAUCUCUUCAAAGCAAAGCGGGGGAUCUUCGGACCUCGUGCUAUGAGAUGAGCCUGCGUCGGAUUAGCUAGUUGGUAGGGUAAUGGCCUACCAAGGCGACGAUCCGUAGCUGGUCUGAGAGGACGAUCGGCCACACUGGGACUGAGACACGGCC
Molecule: ribosomal RNA, 313 nt
Filed under: uncultured Coxiella sp.
Lineage: Bacteria; Pseudomonadati; Pseudomonadota; Gammaproteobacteria; Legionellales; Coxiellaceae
Description: bacterial SSU rRNA
Rfam family: Bacterial small subunit ribosomal RNA
Source: RNAcentral